ACGUACACUCCUGCGGGAGGCAGCAGUGGGGAAUUUUGGACAAUGGGCGAAAGCCUGAUCCAGCCAUGCCGCGUGCAGGAUGAAGGCCUUCGGGUUGUAAACUGCUUUUGUACGGAACGAAACGGCCUUUUCUAAUAAAGAGGGCUAAUGACGGUACCGUAAGAAUAAGCACCGGCUAACUACGUGCCAGCAGCCGCGGUAAUACGUAGGGUGCAAGCGUUAAUCGGAAUUACUGGGCGUAAAGCGUGCGCAGGCGGUUAUGUAAGACAGUUGUGAAAUCCCCGGGCUCGACCUGGGAACUGCAUCUGUGACUGCAUAGCUAGAGUACGGUAGAGGGGGAUGGAAUUCCGCGUGUAGCAGUGAAAUGCGUAGAUAUGCGGAGGAACACCGAUGGCGAAGGCAAUCCCCUGGACCUGUACUGACGCUCAUGCACGAAAGCGUGGGGAGCAAACAGGAUUAGAUACCCCUGUAGUCCCA
This 477-nucleotide ribosomal RNA is filed under the name uncultured organism. RNAcentral describes it as "partial 16S ribosomal RNA". It matches the Rfam family "Bacterial small subunit ribosomal RNA", at positions 329 to 797 of the family's 1533-position model. The record is from RNAcentral.